UGGGGAAUAUUGCGCAAUGGGCGAAAGCCUGACGCAGCAACGCCGCGUGAGUGAUGAAGGCCUUCGGGUCGUAAAGCUCUGUCGGAGGGAACGAAUGCUCCUGAAGUUAACAGCCUCAGGAGGUGACGGUACCCUCAAAGGAAGCACCGGCUAACUCUGUGCCAGCAGCCGCGGUAAUACAGAGGGUGCAAGCGUUGUUCGGAAUUACUGGGCGUAAAGGGCGCGUAGGCGGCAAUUCAAGUCAUCUGUGAAAUCUCCGGGCUUAACUCGGAACGGUCAGAUGAUACUGCUUUGCUAGAGUGCAGAAGGGGCAAUCGGAAUUCUUGGUGUAGCGGUGAAAUGCGUAGAUAUCAAGAGGAACACCUGAGGUGAAGACGGGUUGCUGGGCUGACACUGACGCUGAGGCGCGAAAGCCAGGGGAGCAAACGGGAUUAGAUACCCCCGUAGUCCCUGAGCGGGCUGGCAAGGCG
Molecule: ribosomal RNA, 470 nt
Filed under: uncultured bacterium
Lineage: Bacteria
Description: bacterial SSU rRNA
Rfam family: Bacterial small subunit ribosomal RNA
Source: RNAcentral